This 466-nucleotide ribosomal RNA is filed under the name uncultured bacterium. RNAcentral describes it as "partial 16S ribosomal RNA". It matches the Rfam family "Bacterial small subunit ribosomal RNA", at positions 28 to 507 of the family's 1533-position model. The record is from RNAcentral.
GAUGAACGCUGGCGGCGUGCUUAACACAUGCAAGUCGAACGAUGAAGCCCAGCUUGCUGGGUGGAUUAGUGGCGAACGGGUGAGUAACACGUGAGUAACCUGCCCUUAACUCUGGGAUAAGCCUGGGAAACUGGGUCUAAUACCGGAUAGGAGCGUCCACCGCAUGGUGGGUGUUGGAAAGAUUUAUCGGUUUUGGAUGGACUCGCGGCCUAUCAGCUUGUUGGUGAGGUAAUGGCUCACCAAGGCGACGACGGGUAGCCGGCCUGAGAGGGUGACCGGCCACACUGGGACUGAGACACGGCCCAGACUCCUACGGGAGGCAGCAGUGGGGAAUAUUGCACAAUGGGCGCAAGCCUGAUGCAGCGACGCCGCGUGAGGGAUGACGGCCUUCGGGUUGUAAACCUCUUUCAGUAGGGAAGAAGCGAAAGUGACGGUACCUACAGAAGAAGCACCGGCUAACUACGUG